UGGGGAAUCUUGCACAAUGGGGGCAACCCUGAUGCAGCGACGCCGCGUGAGCGAUGAAGCCCUUCGGGGCGUAAAGCUCUUUCGACCGGAACGAUAAUGACGGUACCGGGAGAAGAAGCUGCGGCUAACUACGUGCCAGCAGCCGCGGUAAUACGUAGGCAGCAAGCGUUGUUCGGAGUUACUGGGCGUAAAGAGUGCGUAGGCGGUUUUCUAAGUUCGGUGUGAAAUCUCCCGGCUUAACUGGGAGGGUGCGCCGAAGACUGGGAAGCUGGAGUGUGGGAAAGGCAGGCGGAAUUCCUGGUGUAGCGGUGAAAUGCGUAGAUAUCAGGAGGAACACCGGCGGUGUAGACGGCUUGCUAGACCAUAACUGACGCUGAUGCACGAAAGCGUGGGUAGCAAACA
RNAcentral lists this ribosomal RNA (402 nucleotides) under uncultured bacterium. RNAcentral's name for it is "bacterial SSU rRNA". It matches the Rfam family "Bacterial small subunit ribosomal RNA", at positions 355 to 774 of the family's 1533-position model. The record is from RNAcentral.